AAUUUGAGGGAUGAGUCCAUAGACAAAAACUGCAGCUGCAGUUGCUAUGUCGUUUGGUUCCCCGAGUAAGACCAAGAUGGGCUUCGAAAAGACAUAGAUCAGCGCGAGAGGGAUCCCCGUUGCCAUCAGGAGAAUUGUUGAUCUCUGGAGAUAUAUGCCUAGCAUUUCGAAUUUGUGCGCCCCAUAUGCUUGCCCACAAAGGGUUUCCA
Molecule: unclassified non-coding RNA, 209 nt
Filed under: Hevea brasiliensis (rubber tree)
Lineage: Eukaryota; Viridiplantae; Streptophyta; Magnoliopsida; Malpighiales; Euphorbiaceae
Source: RNAcentral